Molecule: ribosomal RNA, 497 nt
Filed under: uncultured bacterium
Lineage: Bacteria
Description: partial 16S ribosomal RNA
Rfam family: Bacterial small subunit ribosomal RNA
Source: RNAcentral
GAUGAACGCUGGCGGCGUGCCUAAUACAUGCAAGUCGAGCGAACGGACGAGAAGCUUGCUUUUCUGAUAUUAGCGGCGGACGGGUGAGUAACACGUGGAUAACCUACCUAUAAGACUGGGAUAAAUUCGGGAAACCGGAGCUAAUACCGGAUAAUAUUUUGAACCUCAUGGCUACAAAGUGAAAGACGGUAUUGCUGUCACUUAUAGAUGGAUCCGCGUUUCAUUAGCUUGUUGGUAGGGUAACGCCUUACCAAGCCAACGAUGCAUAGCCGACCUGCUAGGGAGAUCGGCCACACGGGAACUGAGGCAGGAUCCAAGCUGCUGCGGUGGGUAGCAGUAGGGAUACUGCCGCAAUGGGCGAAGGCCGGACGGAGCAACACCGCGAAGGGGAUAAAGUUCUUCGGAUCGAAAAGGUCUGUUAUAGGGGAGGAACAUAUGUGUAAGUAACUGUGCACAUCUUGACGGUACCUAAUCAGAAAGCGACGGCUAACUACGUG